AGUUUAUACAAUCACCUAUACACAUCCAUAUACAUCCAUACAAUUAUCAUUUCUAUCUAUAGUCUAUACAAAUAUCCAUACACAACCAUACACAUUAAGGUACUAAACAAUGACUGGCAACAAUCUAUACAAUCACCUGUACACAUUCAUACAAAUUCAUAUGAUUAUCAUUUUUACCUACAGUCUAUAUAAUCAUCUAUACACAUCCAUAUACAUUAGUACAGUUAUCAUUUCUACACGUAGUCCAUACAAAUAUUCAUACAUAACCAU
Molecule: long non-coding RNA, 270 nt
Filed under: Elaeis guineensis (African oil palm)
Lineage: Eukaryota; Viridiplantae; Streptophyta; Magnoliopsida; Arecales; Arecaceae
Description: long non-coding RNA (EGUI_LNC056692)
Source: RNAcentral